Ailuropoda melanoleuca (giant panda) is the source of this 246-nucleotide long non-coding RNA. RefSeq lists it as uncharacterized. The record is from RefSeq and is a predicted model, not a curated record. NCBI's taxonomy places the organism in Eukaryota, Metazoa, Chordata, Mammalia, Carnivora, Ursidae. The transcript is spliced from 3 exons.
GCCCUGAGCCGAAGGCAGACGCUUAAUGACUGAGCCACCCAGGCGCCCCUCAGAGGUUUGGUCUCUUGCAUUUGACCUCUUGGAUUUUCUCUGUCUCUGACGCCUUGGCACUCCUGCUUGUCUGAUGGGCAACUCUACCCUCAUAGCUCAGUCCUGCCUUGGGCAGUCUUGCAUUUGACAGUGCCACGUCAAAGAGAUAGAGACAGCUAGCGAGAGAGGGAACACAAGCAGGGGGAGCGGGAGAGG